UGGCUUGUGGCAGCCAAGCGU
RNAcentral lists this small nuclear RNA (21 nucleotides) under Arabidopsis thaliana (thale cress). RNAcentral's name for it is "snRNA_11909". The record is from RNAcentral. Lineage: Eukaryota; Viridiplantae; Streptophyta; Magnoliopsida; Brassicales; Brassicaceae.